UGGGCCAAAAGAGAGGAUAACCAUAUGGGUCUCAUAUGGUGAUCUCAAUAUUAAGUGAUAGUAACGUGAUCUCAUCGUAGGUUCUUCCAAAAUGUUGCAUUAGGUUGUUUCUUCAUUGAAAUCCAUUAGCACUAGCCUUUUUUACGAAUGCACUGACUUUUAUUGAUAUCUAAGGGAUCUUUUUUGGGUUUCGAGAGGGUAUAUAGAGUGACUACCGAUGGCGUGUAUGAACUAUUGUGCUGUACCAUUACAAAUCUACUAAGGUGCGUUUAGACACCGCCUAAUAACAUCGAGCCACAACCACGCUGCAAGUGCCGCAAUUCAUUCACCACAGUUUUUUCGAAGCAGCGGUGGCAAGAUGAACUAGCAUCCUACGUCAGGUCAUU
RNAcentral lists this long non-coding RNA (386 nucleotides) under Setaria viridis. RNAcentral's name for it is "long non-coding RNA (SVIR_LNC000209)". The record is from RNAcentral. Lineage: Eukaryota; Viridiplantae; Streptophyta; Magnoliopsida; Poales; Poaceae.